Calidris pugnax (ruff) is the source of this 1610-nucleotide long non-coding RNA. RefSeq lists it as uncharacterized. NCBI's taxonomy places the organism in Eukaryota, Metazoa, Chordata, Aves, Charadriiformes, Scolopacidae. The transcript is spliced from 5 exons. The record is from RefSeq and is a predicted model, not a curated record.
AUCCUGGUGUAUACUCCAUAGUGAUUUGGACGUGCGCAUCCCAUUCCCCAGCUGACCAAACCAGCCAGAAACCACCUGCCACUGGGUUCCUUGCAGGCCAGCGGACCUCCAGAAUCACCCUAGAGAAAGGGAAAGAAAAAUGGGGCGAUGGUGAUCCACCAGCUUCUUGUGCUGGAUGAUUGCACUAUCUUGGAGUCCCUCUAUAUCCAGAUUCCUGUAUCCCAACUCAUGCCUGGGACAUCUGCAACAUCCCUUGUACCUUAGACAGAUGUCAAAAACAGUCUCCAGUGCAAACAUCUGACCUGUUGUUGCAUUCCUUCAUCAUACAAGCUCCUUCCCCUUAGCCAACUCUCAAGAAGUUGAGAGCUCCAUUGUUUCCUUCUGGUCUGUGUGGCAUUUCCAAAUAUAUGUGGAGAGCAAGGAAGCUGGUGGGAUUUAACUGGAUACCCAAAGGCCAUGAAGCGUAUUUGGGAGACUUGGGACACACCCCAUCUCCAGUAGUCAGCCUUGAUCCCACAACUCCUCUGUUACCUGGCAGGCAUCUUUCUUGCCCUUGUGGUACCCAGCACACAGCAUCCUGGGAGAAAUCAUGUAAUGAUAGGCUUCACUGCAGAUAUCCUGCUGGAUGAGCUGCACGUCCACCUUCUGCAGAACGUUGCUGAUGUGCCCUGAGUGGUAGAGCACCGAAAGCAGUGCAGUAAGCCACGAGCAAAGACCUUGCACCUACCGCCUUCCUUAAGGGCUCCCCAGCCAGUGAUCCAGCAAUGAAGGCCAGGCUCAAAGAGGUUCUGUAGGACUGCAUCCUGUCUGCUGAGAUCACUGUUCCUCCUGCCUUGAUGUCACCCUCAGUUCAUGUGUCACCUUCAUCAACAGAGCAGCUGCUCCCCUUGGUCUCUGAUAGGGAUGUUUGAAAACACGGAGAAACAAAUACAUUUUGUUCCGUCUUUGUGUUAACCUGUGGAACUGAAUGACACAAGAUAUCCCUGGGGCCAAGAAACUAACAGGAUUCAAGAUAAUAUUAAAUAUUCUUCAGGAUGCACAUGUAUCCAUGAGGGAAGCAAGCAAGCCCUGAUGUCAGGCAGCUGGAUGAUGGGACAGAGUGCACCAUCAGCAAGACUGCAGACAAUACAAAACCCAGCCUCAGCGAUCCUGUGAGAGCUCUCACAUUUCCAGCACUGAAUUAAGACUUCCUUGAGAAAGAUUUCUCCUUCCUUUUACUUUAGACUUUUCUAUAUCUUCCUCUGAAUAUUUCAGAAUUGGCCACACUCUCCAGUGGUUUGGGGAUCUUUCUGUCUAUGAAUAAACAGCUGUAGAGGACAACUAAUGAAAAAUUAGUGGUGGAAGCAACGUGAUGAGCUUCCUUCCCCCCUCCCCCCUCACCACCUCCCCCACCAGGGAUGGGAAAACAGAUUAAUUAGGUGUCAUGCCAAAGCCUGAGUAGCUCUUCCUAUGAGAAUGGGGCAUUGCAGGAGUCCUGGGAUGCUGAGGAUGGUGUCUGCAUCAGCAUGAACUGCCGUUGGCAUGAAGAACUGAUGGCUGAUGGAAGACUUAGAUGCUCCCAAACUGAAGCACAAUAUAUGGGUGAGGAACAGUACAGAUCAGGUGUCACA